Molecule: long non-coding RNA, 929 nt
Filed under: Rattus norvegicus (Norway rat)
Lineage: Eukaryota; Metazoa; Chordata; Mammalia; Rodentia; Muridae
Description: long non-coding RNA NONRATT017172
Source: RNAcentral
UGGUUCCUUGCCACUUCUUACCUGGGGGCGAUCCUCAGACCUGAAUAGCACUUUGGACAACUGAGUAGGACUUCGGGGUCUCCUUGUCACCUCUAAGGCCCGCUAGGAUGACAGUGAAGCAGUCACAGCCUAGAACAAAGAUGCCCGGUUAGGACCUAAGCGUACCGUCCAGAGCCUUGACAUUUACUCAGACCUGUGAAGAUCCUUUGCCACUCCUGGGGACCCCGCCUCCCCUGUGGGUCUCUGCCAGCUGCCCCUCUAUUUUUGAGGGUUAAUCUGGUGAUCUGCUGCUCUCCCUUCCUCAGACCCUUCCCCUCCCCAGGUUGGCAGGAGGCAUCCUUUCCCUCGCCACGGCUCAGUGGACCAGAAGGGAACGGGUACACAGGGUACACUAAGUGGGGUUUCCUGGUCCUACCUCAGGCAGCUCCAGUGGCAACUGCCCUUCUUAUGGGUCUAGGGUAGGUCCUUGGUGACGAGACGGGCUUCCCAGAGCAUCCCUGUGUGUGUGGUAUGUGGUGGUGGUGGGGGGUGGACUUAUCUGGGAUGGGGACCCCAGCCGCUGAAGUCCUCAGUGACUUGUCCCAUUUCUUAGUAGUUGUACAAGGAGUCAGGCCAAGAUGGUGCCUCGGGGGCUGAGGGAGCUCACAGGAACUGAGCAGUGACUGGUCCUUUCCCAGUAUUGAAUACUGAGCCCCUGUGGGUGUCGAAGCACUUAGUGGGUCUGGCCCCAACCCCAAACACCCCUGUUUCUGUAACACCCUGAGCUGGACUGUUUAUCUUUAGCCGGGAGAACAUGUAUUUUGGUCCCUUCCCUGUCUCCGCUCAGAUUGUAAACCUCCCACGUGUGGGGAUCACACCCUGCACUGUCCCGAAUCUUUACACCCUAUCCCAAAGCUGGUGCUCAAUAAAUACUUCUAGAUGAUUUGUAA